Molecule: long non-coding RNA, 210 nt
Filed under: Mytilus galloprovincialis (Mediterranean mussel)
Lineage: Eukaryota; Metazoa; Mollusca; Bivalvia; Mytilida; Mytilidae
Source: RNAcentral
CUUGGCCCAGUAAUUACAGUGGAAAAUAUUUUGUAAAAAUUUACAAAAAUUUAUGAAAAUUUAUGAAAAUUGUUAAAAAUUUACUAUAAAGGGCAAUAACUCAUUUAGGGGUCAAUUGACAAUUUUGGUCAUGUUGACUUAUUUGUAGAUUUUAUUUUGCUGAACAUUAUUGCUGUUUGCAGUUUAUCUCUAUCUAUAAUAAUAUUCAAG